AAAAUUUCAGCAAAAUUUUAGAGGGUUGUGCCAUGGUUUGGGAAUAGUAUUCUCCAAUUUAAUUCUUCGAGUUAAACCACUCCCUCUUCCCCAUGGUAGGAUGGAGAGAAGAACUGGAGGAACAAAAGUGCAGGGAGAACAACAAAACCAGGGAACUUUCACUGGUUUAAAGACUCUCAGCAUGCCUGGUUCACAUGAAUUCCUUUUUAAGAACCGAGUACCAGCUGAGAGAGAAGAUCUGACACUUCAGUCUGACCCAGCAUUAAGCUCUUACGCCACAGAGUCCCCGGAGAACACAAACUCUCCAGGAGAAAUGGGAUUUCUUUGAUGUCACUGCACCGGGAGGAGGAAAGUGGCCAAGGCAUCCUUUGAAACCAUCCCAUUCAACCAGGAUGCUUCAUUUCCAAGUGUCCUAUUUGCAGCCAACUCACAAGGACAUGAGGCACUUCUGAAGUCCUGGGUAUUUUCUUUUUAAGUACACCACAUUUAUUCAAACCAGACAAAGGUUUUUUUCUUAUUGGUAAGUGCUGAAACAAUUAGAAAACUUGCUACAUUUAAGGAUGCAAUUAACACUCAGCAGACAAUCCAAAUUCCAUGGAAAUUUUAGUAGGAAUAAGGACAUUAAUAAUCCUCUCACAGAAUUCUAAAAUCAGUGAAUUUAUUGCAUGCCCUGAGUAGCUAAGAUACCAGGAAGCACAAGUUACAACACAAACAUUAACUGAGAGUAAAGAUGAAGACGUUAGACUGAAAGUUCAAAAAUCUGUUCUCUAUGUUUUUCUUUUUAAAGGAUUAAUUUGACAAGAUCAGCUUUAACACAACAAUCUUAAAGACAGCGUUACAGAUCAUGAACUCCAGAAUCUCCUCACAGAAGUUAGUCAGGGGAUUUUAUUCAGGAACAGAAAACAUCUAUUCAACACCUCCAUUUACCUGUUGCUAAAGUACAACCUCCUCCCCAGUGUGACAGCACAAAAAGCAGGAAAGGACCUGGCUCUGAGUGAGCCCUGCUCAGCAAUAACAAAAACAUUUCUAUACCAUCAACGCUGUGCUCAGCACAAAUCCAAAAUGCAGCCCUACACCAGCCACUGGGAAGAAAAUUACCUCAGCCAAAACAAGCACACAUGCAAAAAAGCUUCAGAAGAUGAAUAAUACAUGUACAUAAACAGAUGCAUAUAUAUAUAUAUAUAUACACACACACAUAUAUCUGGGA
Passer domesticus (house sparrow) is the source of this 1207-nucleotide long non-coding RNA. RefSeq lists it as uncharacterized. The transcript has 3 exons. Lineage: Eukaryota; Metazoa; Chordata; Aves; Passeriformes; Passeridae. The record is from RefSeq and is a predicted model, not a curated record.